Molecule: ribosomal RNA, 253 nt
Filed under: uncultured bacterium
Lineage: Bacteria
Description: partial 16S ribosomal RNA
Rfam family: Bacterial small subunit ribosomal RNA
Source: RNAcentral
UACGUAGGGGGCAAGCGUUGUCCGGAUUUAUUGGGCGUAAAGAGCGUGUAGGCGGUCAGGUAGGUCCGUUGUGAAAACUCGAGGCUCAACCUCGAGACGUCGGCGGAAACCAUCUGGCUAGAGUCCGGAAGAGGAGAGUGGAAUUCCUGGUGUAGCGGUGAAAUGCGCAGAUAUCAGGAAGAACACCCGUGGCGAAGGCGGCUCUCUGGGACGGUACUGACGCUGAGACGCGAAAGCGUGGGGAGCGAACAGG